AUAUAUAUAUAUAUAUAUAUAUAUAUAUGUAUAGUGGUUCUCCUACGCCGCCAAAUUUAUGUGGUUUUAUUUGGACACAAUAUAGUAAACUUAUUUUUGGAGGUUGGUGGUAUGCUUGAAGCCUGCUCCACCUCCGCCGCGGGUCGGCCCGGUAUUGCACUACCUCUGGGGUCUGCCCGCGUAUU
Molecule: small nuclear RNA, 185 nt
Organism: Dermacentor andersoni
Lineage: Eukaryota; Metazoa; Arthropoda; Arachnida; Ixodida; Ixodidae
Product: U2 spliceosomal RNA
Source: RefSeq, a predicted model, not a curated record